RNAcentral lists this unclassified non-coding RNA (210 nucleotides) under Hevea brasiliensis (rubber tree). Lineage: Eukaryota; Viridiplantae; Streptophyta; Magnoliopsida; Malpighiales; Euphorbiaceae. The record is from RNAcentral.
GGAGGUUCUUCUCUAGGAAAAGAAUCUAAGCUUACAGAAAAGGAUUCUCCUAAGAAAGCAUUGAAGAGGAAGCGACAGCCUGUAAAUCGAGCUAACAUAGUUGAGCUCUCUUAGCGCUAAGGACAUUAAUUGUAGCUUAUUUUUGGUGAGAAAUUCAGAACAUAGUUAUAAGCGUGCUUCUCUUCCAUGUUCCUAUAAAACUUGUUUUAG